This 82-nucleotide transfer RNA is filed under the name Ipomoea nil (Japanese morning glory). It matches the Rfam family "tRNA". From Rfam's summary of the family: Transfer RNA (tRNA) molecules are approximately 80 nucleotides in length. Their secondary structure includes four short double-helical elements and three loops (D, anti-codon, and T loops). Lineage: Eukaryota; Viridiplantae; Streptophyta; Magnoliopsida; Solanales; Convolvulaceae. The record is from Rfam by way of RNAcentral.
GUGGGUGUGCCAGAGUGGUUAUUGGGCAUGACUAGAAAUCAUAUGUGCUUUACUUGCGCAGGUUCGAAUCCUGCUGCUCAUG